GAACCUGAAACCGUGUACGUACAAGCAGUGGGAGCCUCUUAAUGGGGUGACUGCGUACCUUUUGUAUAAUGGGUCAGCGACUUAUAUUCUGUAGCAAGGUUAACCGAAUAGGGGAGCCGAAGGGAAACCGAGUCUUAACUGGGCGUUAAGUUGCAGGGUAUAGACCCGAAACCCGGUGAUCUAGCCAUGGGCAGGUUGAAGGUUGGGUAACACUAACUGGAGGACCGAACCGACUAAUGUUGAAAAAUUAGCGGAUGACUUGUGGCUGGGGGUGAAAGGCCAAUCAAACCGGGAGAUAGCUGGUUCUCCCCGAAAGCUAUUUAGGUAGCGCCUCGUGAAUUCAUCUCCGGGGGUAGAGCACUGUUUCGGCAAGGGGGUCAUCCCGACUUACCAACCCGAUGCAAACUGCGAAUACCGGAGAAUGUUAUCACGGGAGACACACGGCGGGUGCUAACGUCCGUCGUGAAGAGGGAAACAACCCAGACCGCCAGCUAAGGUCCCAAAGUCAUGGUUAAGUGGGAAACGAUGUGGGAAGGCCCAGACAGCCAGGAUGUUGGCUUAGAAGCAGCCAUCAUUUAAAGAAAGCGUAAUAGCUCACUGGUCGAGUCGGCCUGCGCGGAAGAUGUAACGGGGCUAAACCAUGCACCGAAGCUGCGGCAGCGACACUAUGUGUUGUUGGGUAGGGGAGCGUUCUGUAAGCCUGUGAAGGUGGCCUGUGAGGGUUGCUGGAGGUAUCAGAAGUGCGAAUGCUGACAUAAGUAACGAUAAAGCGGGUGAAAAGCCCGCUCGCCGGAAGACCAAGGGUUCCUGUCCAACGUUAAUCGGGGCAGGGUGAGUCGACCCCUAAGGCGAGGCCGAAAGGCGUAGUCGAUGGGAAACAGGUUAAUAUUCCUGUACUUGGUGUUACUGCGAAGGGGGGACGGAGAAGGCUAUGUUGGCCGGGCGACGGUUGUCCCGGUUUAAGCGUGUAGGCUGGUUUUCCAGGCAAAUCCGGAAAACCAAGGCUGAGGCGUGAUGACGAGGCACUACGGUGCUGAAGCGACAAAUGCCCUGCUUCCAGGAAAAGCCUCUAAGCAUCAGGUAACAUCAAAUCGUACCCCAAACCGACACAGGUGGUCAGGUAGAGAAUACCAAGGCGCUUGAGAGAACUCGGGUGAAGGAACUAGGCAAAAUGGUGCCGUAACUUCGGGAGAAGGCACGCUGAUAUGUAGGUGAAGCGACUUGCUCGUGGAGCUGAAAUCAGUCGAAGAUACCAGCUGGCUGCAACUGUUUAUUAAAAACACAGCACUGUGCAAACACGAAAGUGGACGUAUACGGUGUGACGCCUGCCCGGUGCCGGAAG
Molecule: ribosomal RNA, 1342 nt
Filed under: Escherichia coli
Lineage: Bacteria; Pseudomonadati; Pseudomonadota; Gammaproteobacteria; Enterobacterales; Enterobacteriaceae
Description: partial 23S ribosomal RNA
Rfam family: Bacterial large subunit ribosomal RNA
Source: RNAcentral